RNAcentral lists this ribosomal RNA (253 nucleotides) under uncultured bacterium. RNAcentral describes it as "partial 16S ribosomal RNA". It matches the Rfam family "Bacterial small subunit ribosomal RNA", at positions 524 to 776 of the family's 1533-position model. The record is from RNAcentral.
GACGUAGGGCGCGAGCGUUGUCCGGAUUUACUGGGCGUAAAGAGCGCGCAGGCGGUCGGAUAAGUCGAAUGUGAAAGCCCCUGGCUCAACCAGGGAGGGUCAUUCGAUACUGUUCGACUCGAAGGCAGGAGAGGGAAGUGGAAUUCCGGGUGUAGUGGUGAAAUGCGUAGAUAUCCGGAGGAACACCAGUGGCGAAGGCGACUUUCUGGCCUGUUCUUGACGCUGAGGCGCGAAGGCUAGGGGAGCAAACGGG